CAGUCGCCGCGGUAAUACAGAGGGUGCGAGCGUUAAUCGGAUUUACUGGGCGUAAAGCGUGCGUAGGCGGCUUUUUAAGUCGGAUGUGAAAUCCCUGAGCUUAACUUAGGAAUUGCAUUCGAUACUGAGAAGCUAGAGUAUGGGAGAGGAUGGUAGAAUUCCAGGUGUAGCGGUGAAAUGCGUAGAGAUCUGGAGGAAUACCGAUGGCGAAGGCAGCCAUCUGGCCUAAUACUGACGCUGAGGUACGAAGGCAUGGGGAGCAAACAGGAUUAGAUACCCCCGUAGUCCCUGUCUCUUAUAC
This 301-nucleotide ribosomal RNA is filed under the name uncultured bacterium. Its description in RNAcentral is "partial 16S ribosomal RNA". It matches the Rfam family "Bacterial small subunit ribosomal RNA", at positions 509 to 807 of the family's 1533-position model. The record is from RNAcentral.